RNAcentral lists this transfer RNA (69 nucleotides) under Polydactylus plebeius (striped threadfin). Its description in RNAcentral is "tRNA-Phe". Lineage: Eukaryota; Metazoa; Chordata; Actinopteri; Polynemidae. The record is from RNAcentral.
GCUGACAUAGCUUAACCAAAGCAUGACACUGAAGCUGUCAAGAUGGGGCCUGAUAAACCCCUGUAAGCA